Molecule: transfer RNA, 72 nt
Filed under: Loxodonta africana (African savanna elephant)
Lineage: Eukaryota; Metazoa; Chordata; Mammalia; Proboscidea; Elephantidae
Rfam family: tRNA
About the family: Transfer RNA (tRNA) molecules are approximately 80 nucleotides in length.
Source: Rfam by way of RNAcentral
CUCUGGGUGGUGUAAACAGUUAACACAUCUGGCUGUUAACAAAAAGGUUGGAGGUUUGAGUCCUCCCAGAGA